Sarcophilus harrisii (Tasmanian devil) is the source of this 773-nucleotide long non-coding RNA. RefSeq lists it as uncharacterized. The record is from RefSeq and is a predicted model, not a curated record. The transcript has 3 exons. Lineage: Eukaryota; Metazoa; Chordata; Mammalia; Dasyuromorphia; Dasyuridae.
GGUCUCUAGCACAUAAUUUUGUAAGACCAUAGAAAAUACUGGAGAUCAAAUGUUUCAUGAAACUCUUAUGCUGAUUCUUUCAGUGCUAUCAUAUGCAGUGAUCUGGAUCUGAAGAUUUCAGUUGAGUAGAAGUGUCAUCUUAACUUCAUCUCCAACCCUUAGCUAUGCCAUGAAUUGUUCAAAAUAACAGGAGACAUGCAGUCAAUCAAAGGAGAACAUCUUUCUCAUGUGAAGCCCAAAGUUUAGACAAAGUAGGACAAUGAAAAGACCAGGGGAAGAAGCGAAGACCAAAAGGAGUCUACAAUUUAAACAGAUGAACUUGGAGAACCUCCCAGCAGGUUAGCAGUGAUUGACAUAAAUGCACAUAAACUAAAAUACUAGAACCUGAGUCACUAAUUUGAAGAAUUCAGACCAGGGGACUUUGAACAAACUUCUGCUCAAAUCAUACUUUUUUAAUAGUAUGGAAAACAUGCAGAACCCUGCAACAGUUGAGAUAUGAAAACUGUAGAAUCUCAGGGCUUACAUCUCUGCUAAAAAUUAGCAGAACUCAGCACUAGCAUAAAGUCCCAUGUCAAGAAGUAGUCUAGAAGAAUAAUCAACAAAAGAACUUGACUGUAGAUAUCUAUUAUGAUGAUAAGGAAGCUCAAAACACAAAUACAGAAAAAGUAAAUGACUCAAAACCAUCCAUGAGACAAAUGCAGAUUGGAUAUAAACUCAAUAAGAAUAUCUAGAAGAAAUAAUGAAUAAAGAUAAAGAUAAAGAAAAAAGUUAAA